This 253-nucleotide ribosomal RNA is filed under the name uncultured bacterium. Its description in RNAcentral is "partial 16S ribosomal RNA". It matches the Rfam family "Bacterial small subunit ribosomal RNA", at positions 524 to 776 of the family's 1533-position model. The record is from RNAcentral.
UACGAAGGGAGCUAGCGUUGUUCGGAAUCACUGGGCGUAAAGCGCACGUAGGCGGAUUUGUCAGUCAGGGGUGAAAUCCCGGGGCUCAACCUCGGAACUGCCUUUGAUACAGCAAGUCUUGAGUUCGAGAGAGGUGGGUGGAAUUCCUAGUGUAGAGGUGAAAUUCGUAGAUAUUAGGAAGAACACCAGUGGCGAAGGCGGCUCACUGGCCCGAUACUGACGCUGAGGUGCGAAAGCGUGGGGAGCAAACAGG